RNAcentral lists this ribosomal RNA (497 nucleotides) under uncultured bacterium. Its description in RNAcentral is "partial 16S ribosomal RNA". It matches the Rfam family "Bacterial small subunit ribosomal RNA", at positions 28 to 507 of the family's 1533-position model. The record is from RNAcentral.
GAUGAACGCUGGUGGCGUGCCUAAUACAUGCAAGUCGAGCGAACAGACGAGGAGCUUGCUCCUCUGACGUUAGCGGCGGACGGGUGAGUAACACGUGGAUAACCUACCUAUAAGACUGGGAUAACUUCGGGAAACCGGAGCUAAUACCGGAUAAUAUAUUGAACCGCAUGGUUCAAUAGUGAAAGACGGUUUUGCUGUCACUUAUAGAUGGAUCCGCGCCGCAUUAGCUAGUUGGUUAGGUAACGGCUUACCAAGGCAACGAUGCGUAGCCGACCUGAGAGGGUGAUCGGCCACACUGGAACUGAGACACGGUCCAGACUCCUACGGGAGGCAGCAGUAGGGAAUCUUCCGCAAUGGGCGAAAGCUUGACGGAGCAACGCCGCGUGAGUGAUGAAGGUCUUCGGAUCGUAAAACUCUGUUAUUAGGGAAGAACAAAUGUGUAAGUAACUAUGCACGUCUUGACGGUACCUAAUCAGAAAGCCACGGCUAACUACGUG